RNAcentral lists this ribosomal RNA (460 nucleotides) under uncultured bacterium. RNAcentral describes it as "partial 16S ribosomal RNA". It matches the Rfam family "Bacterial small subunit ribosomal RNA", at positions 338 to 795 of the family's 1533-position model. The record is from RNAcentral.
CCUACGGGUGACAGCAGUGAGGAAUAUUGGUCAAUGGGCUUACGCCUGAACCAGCCAAGUCGCGUGAGGGAAGACUGCCCUAUGGGUUGUAAACCUCUUUUGUCAGGGAGCAAUUGGCGCUACGUGUAGCGUUAUCGAGAGUACCUGCAGACAAAGCAUCGGCUAACUCCGUGCCAGCAGCCGCGGUAAUACGGAGGAUGCGAGCGUUAUCCGGAUUUAUUGGGUUUAAAGGGUGCGUAGGCGGAAUGCCAAGUCAGCGGUAAAAUCGCGGGGCUCAACCUCGCUCCGCCGUUGAAACUGGCGGUCUUGAGUGGGCGAGAAGUAUGCGGAAUGCGUGGUGUAGCGGUGAAAUGCAUAGAUAUCACGCAGAACUCCGAUUGCGAAGGCAGCAUACCGGCGCCCAACUGACGCUGAAGCACGAAAGCGUGGGUAUCGAACAGGAUUAGAUACCCCGGUAGUC